Molecule: long non-coding RNA, 831 nt
Filed under: Eptatretus burgeri (inshore hagfish)
Lineage: Eukaryota; Metazoa; Chordata; Myxini; Myxiniformes; Myxinidae
Description: lncRNA (ENSEBUG00000017200.1)
Source: RNAcentral
GUUGGUGUGGUGAGUGGUGUAGUGUAAUUUCUAGAGAUGUUCUGAUUGGUGGAAGGGGCUGGGAAUUGGUUUAGUUUGUUCUCAACCACAUUCGGACUGUUUUUGCUGUGGAUGACAAAUAAAUUUAUUUAUUUUGUAAACCUCUGACCAACAAGAUUUUAUUUAAUGAGGUUUUUCUGCUCUGAUAGCACAAAAACAAUUUCUGUGGCCUCAUGAAUUGAAAUGGUUCUCAAAUUGUGAAUAUUAUUUGGAUUUCUGGCCAUUUGGAGGAAUUGCUCAAGGUUGAAUUUAUUUUGUCCUCGCUAUCUCGCGAUCAGGGUUGGGCUGUGACCUCCUGAGCCCGAAAAAAAUAGUCAAAUCGCCAUCAAAUCGCCAUCGAAGAGCAGCAGAAUCGGGGGGGAAAUCGCCAUCGAAGAGCAGCAGGCCGGUGGUCAGAAGGCCCCCAGUAGCGACAAGUGUGCCUUCUGCGACGACGACAGAUGCGGAUGAGGAGAGAGCUCCAGUCGACCCCAAGGAGGUCGAGGCUGAGAUUUAUCCGAUCUUUGAGACUGCGAGAGAGACGCUGCUUGCAAACUCGGCAUUACAAGAGAAGCUGGCUCUGAAUAUCAACCACAUCAUGAGCAGCAGUGAAAUAUGCAGCAGUACCUUGGCUGAAGACCCGGUACUCGCAGUGGAACAAGCACAGGACAGCUCAGCAGAGAUGGAGCACAACUCUUUGAACGAAUCGCCGGAUGUUCCGACAUGGUCGAGGAUUGUGGAAGAACUAAAGUCGAAACAAAAUUGAAGAAACAAAUAAGGAAACACCAACAGCAGUAUAGAAGCGAGAGCGAG